GGACGCAAGUCUGAUGGAGCAACGCCGCGUGAGUGAAGAAGGCUUUCGGGUCGUAAAACUCUGUUGUUGGAGAAGAAUGGUCGGCAGAGUAACUGUUGUCGGCGUGACGGUAUCCAACCAGAAAGCCACGGCUAACUACGUGCCAGCAGCCGCGGUAAUACGUAGGUGGCAAGCGUUAUCCGGAUUUAUUGGGCGUAAAGCGAGCGCAGGCGGUUUUUUAAGUCUGAUGUGAAAGCCCUCGGCUUAACCGAGGAAGCGCAUCGGAAACUGGGAAACUUGAGUGCAGAAGAGGACAGUGGAACUCCAUGUGUAGCGGUGAAAUGCGUAGAUAUAUGGAAGAACACC
Molecule: ribosomal RNA, 345 nt
Filed under: uncultured bacterium
Lineage: Bacteria
Description: bacterial SSU rRNA
Rfam family: Bacterial small subunit ribosomal RNA
Source: RNAcentral